CUCUGCCACCUCAGGCCCAUCCAGUAGCUCUGCAUUGACAGCCCUCUAGGCUAAGUUCUUAAUGCGUUUCAUUCCAUGGUAUAUUGUUUAGAUUAUCUUAUUACUGGUAAUGCUAACUUGACCACUUGGGUUUACAGUGCUGUCUGCAAGGUUUCUCUAUUGUAAAGUUGAUUUUUUUCCUCAAAGUAUUUUGUAAAGGGUUACUUUCAAACUAUCACAUUCUUCAACAUGUUGUUACUGAGUUCAUGUAUUUAGAUUGGGAUAGACUUGUGGAUUUUUAAUGUCUUAUAAUCCAUUAUCAUUUUUAUUGUAAUGUUCAAAUUGUCCCAGUCUGACCAGUGAGAAUCCCUUAAAGAUGGCUUCUGUAUCCUCCUGAAUUGACCCUAUUACUUUUUUAUUUUCACACACAACAAGAUGUACGAGGCUUGCCCUAUAUUUUCCCUGCCCUAGGCCUGGAAUUAUUCAUUUUCCCAAGGAAUUCUGGUCCCUUUUAGUAGAAAAUGGUGUUUAGAGACCAAGAUCUGAGUUCUAGGCGUGCUAAUUGCUACUGGUAUGUUGCUUCUCCCAGGCCCUCUCAGGGGAGACUUGACAUGAAGCAAGAACCAAGAGAUCUCUGGAAUAAUUAAGAAAGAAAAAAAUCCCCUCUCUUCAAACAAUUUGGUCCAAAACUACCAGAUGAAGCCAAAAUGGGAGAACGGAACCUGAUGCCUCCUGGGCCAGUUCAAAUGGUCUCCCUGAGAAUUUGGACUUCUCAAAGAGAAAGUUAUCUGUGUGUAUGGACUAAAACACACAGCACUUUGGAAAUGAUGGCAGUCAGAUUCUGCCACUGAGGAGAGGAGGAAGUCCAUCUGAGGUAAGAUGGUAAAACCAAGUAGAUAUUCAGAAGGCAGUCAAGAUGUGAGACAGAGAGUUCUGACUUGGUUCUCUACCUGACUGUGUUCGUUUUUGAUGUUUCGUGAUCCACUCCAUUGUCCUUGCAAUAAAUCUCCCUUUUCCGGUGAAACUAGCUAGAAU
RNAcentral lists this long non-coding RNA (1014 nucleotides) under Sus scrofa (pig). RNAcentral describes it as "lncRNA (ENSSSCG00025032484.1)". The record is from RNAcentral. Lineage: Eukaryota; Metazoa; Chordata; Mammalia; Artiodactyla; Suidae.